UACGGAGGGUGCGAGCGUUAUCCGGAUUCACUGGGUUUAAAGGGUGCGUAGGCUGGCCGUUAAGUCAGGGGUGAAAUUCCGGGGCUCAACCCCGGGACUGCCUUUGAUACUAUCGGCCUUGAAUCGCGUCGAGGUCGGCGGAAUAUAACAUGUAGCGGUGAAAUGCUUAGAUAUGUUGUGGAACACCGAUUGCGAAGGCAGCCGGCUAGGCGCGCAUUGACGCUGAUGCACGAAAGCGUGGGUAGCGAAC
This 250-nucleotide ribosomal RNA is filed under the name uncultured bacterium. RNAcentral describes it as "partial 16S ribosomal RNA". It matches the Rfam family "Bacterial small subunit ribosomal RNA", at positions 524 to 773 of the family's 1533-position model. The record is from RNAcentral.